Molecule: long non-coding RNA, 251 nt
Filed under: Elaeis guineensis (African oil palm)
Lineage: Eukaryota; Viridiplantae; Streptophyta; Magnoliopsida; Arecales; Arecaceae
Description: long non-coding RNA (EGUI_LNC054977)
Source: RNAcentral
CUGCACCACCGAAAUCCAUCAGUGGUAUCAGAGCCUACCAUGAUCUAUAUAAUCAAAGGUUAGAAUGUUGUCUUGAUUGUGAUCAAACAUAGAUUUUUGGUUUGGUUCAAGUCGGAUCAAGGGUUGAACCCGAUUAAACAUCCAAACCCUCGCAUGUCUUAAAGAUAUAUUUUUAAAUAUAAAAUGCAUGAUGCAUGUAUAAAAUCUUUUUUAGUAGCCUAGUACUCUAUUGGGUUCAUAACCAGACCGUC